AGGGUGCGAGCGUUGUCCGGAUUUAUUGGGCGUAAAGAGCUCGUAGGCGGUUUGUCGCGUCGUUCGUGAAAUCUCCACGCUUAACGUGGAGCGUGCGGUCGAUACGGGCAGACUUGAGUUCGGUAGGGGAGACUGGAAUUCCUGGUGUAGCGGUGAAAUGCGCAGAUAUCAGGAGGAACACCGGUGGCGAAGGCGGGUCUCUGGGCCGAUACUGACGCUGAGGAGCGAAAGCGUGGGGAGCGAACAGG
RNAcentral lists this ribosomal RNA (248 nucleotides) under uncultured bacterium. RNAcentral describes it as "partial 16S ribosomal RNA". It matches the Rfam family "Bacterial small subunit ribosomal RNA", at positions 529 to 776 of the family's 1533-position model. The record is from RNAcentral.